CACCCAUGAGGUUAAAAAGGUACUUCUCACUAAUGCAAACAGUUUGUUAAUGCCAUUUGCUGCGUGUAACGUUGUGAAAGAGUGAGAUGAAAUAGGAAGGAUCAAAGAAAGCACAGAUAGCAGUAGUGCGAGUGGAGUAACGUAACAGAUAACAACUGACAUCAAAGCGUGAGGAACUGGUGAGCUGCGGCAUCCCGACGCUGACACCAUCUCUUAAAAGGCAAAGGAGGUAUUGUGCAGGCCCCAAACCUUGGACACAAUUCAGUUACAAUUACUCCUGAAGAUAAACACAUUCUCAUGCACCGUUGUGGGUUUAGCAGUUGAGCAUUCUCCCCAGAAAGCUGGAACCCUAAGAAGGAAAAUAUUUGUUGGCUUUAAUGAAGUAGCGUUCUCCCUUGGAACUGACUGCAGAGCACUGAUAGGCCUGUAUGCCUUCCUAGGGUACAAUUCAAUUUGCAAUAGAUGAAAAGCCAGAAGCCAAACAUGUGAGCCUUGUCAAGUUUGGGUGCUUCACCACAUCUGUCCUGGAGCUACUUCUCCAAAAAACAGUGGGAAGAAGGAAACGGCGUGCACAGGAAUACUGUGCCUGCAUACAGAUUUUGCAACUUUCUUUCAAGGUGCAGGGCUCCAUCACCAAUUCUUAACUUCAACAGCAAGGUGGGAAAGAAGAGUGACAGUACCUCUGAAGGAGAAAAUGCUGAGCGCUGAGCAGCUAGCUCCUAGCCCUUCCGCAAAGGAAGAUGCAACAGGAGCAAAUAUCUAACAAAGACAGAGUCACUGACACAAAUUCCCAGUGGCUGUAAGCAGUACCCCCUCCCUCAGUGUCCUCUGACUGAAGCUGGAUGCCAUUCUGGAAGAUCUUUUUUUUCCUUCUGGAGAAGUAAAUGGACACUCCGCUUAUGAGGUUACCACACAAUGCAGGGGAAGCAGGCACAUGUAGAUCUGCUUUUUUGCAUUCGGCCAAGCCAUCGAACAGGAAACGUGUCUAGGAUGAGGUGCAUGAUGUUCAAGAUUAAAACGAACAGGUUUCCAUCAAAGAACUGCCU
Gallus gallus (chicken) is the source of this 1046-nucleotide long non-coding RNA. Lineage: Eukaryota; Metazoa; Chordata; Aves; Galliformes; Phasianidae. The record is from Ensembl.